RNAcentral lists this microRNA precursor (147 nucleotides) under Schistosoma japonicum. RNAcentral's name for it is "microRNA sja-mir-7 precursor". Its record names the gene sja-mir-7. The record is from miRBase by way of RNAcentral. Lineage: Eukaryota; Metazoa; Platyhelminthes; Trematoda; Strigeidida; Schistosomatidae.
AUGUUGCCGUUGCUUAAUCAUGGAAGACUGGUGAUAUGUUGUUGAUUGAUGAAAGUUUUAAGUAUUUCAUAAUUUAAAGCUUCAUCAAAACAAUGAUAUUACGAACAACUUAUCGCAUUCUUCCAUGUAUGCAAUAGGUUGAACUUC